UACGUAGGUGGCGAGCGUUGUCCGGAUUUACUGGGCGUAAAGAGCGCGCAGGCGGUCGUGCAAGUCGCGUGUGAAAGCCCCCCGGCUCAACUGGGGAGGGUCACGCGAUACUGCUCGACUCGAAGGCAGGAGAGGGAAGUGGAAUUCCCGGUGUAGUGGUGAAAUGCGUAGAUAUCGGGAGGAACACCAGUGGCGAAGGCGACUUCCUGGCCUGUUCUUGACGCUGAGGCGCGAAAGCUAGGGUAGCAAACGGG
RNAcentral lists this ribosomal RNA (254 nucleotides) under uncultured bacterium. RNAcentral describes it as "partial 16S ribosomal RNA". It matches the Rfam family "Bacterial small subunit ribosomal RNA", at positions 524 to 776 of the family's 1533-position model. The record is from RNAcentral.